GCAGGUUUUCCAUCAGAGUCCCAGCUCAGCCUGGAGAGCAAAGGUGACUCUGUCUGACUCCAGAACUGGGUGGUUCCAUCUCCACCCCAUGGAAAGACCCCACUAAAUCACCCCAGGAGGCCUCUGCAGCUGAAAGGGAAAAUGAGGAUGGCUCCAGUGGCACAUCCUGAGCUGGGCUCAGGUUGAGAGAGGAUUUGGGAGCUGUGUCUGACCAUUCCACAUGGGGAAAAACCAGAUUUCAUUGCUCUGAAGGCACAGGAUUUGGGAUCAGGCUGAUGGUGGGAUGUUCCUGUCACAGAAGGGGCUCCUCUGUGCAAGCUAACAUGGAAUUCAGCUGGAGAAAAAAGGCAUCAUUCCAAGAUGUGCUGGUCCAUAGGGUAAAUAGCAGGCAAUCCCUGAGCUUGUGGAGGGGACAAAGGAACAGAGCUUCAGGAGGUGUUUAAUUUUCCAAGCAGAUGUUGCACUAGGAGGAGUCAGGGUCAUAAGGCAGGCUCAGGACAUGUCUCUCCUCAGGAGCAGCUCCCUGCUUCCCUUCCAAUUCAUUCAGGCUUGGAACAAAAAUGCUGCUCCAGAUGGCAGGGGCAGCACUCCCUGUGACACGGAGAGGGGCUGCUUGCUGAGGGCCAGGCGAUGAGGGGAUAAAAAGGGAGCCAGGAGGUCAGGCAGAGGAGGGAGUGGGAGCAGCCACACCAUUUUAGCUCCAGGUCACUGCCUCCAAAGGUUGGGGCUGGCAGAUGAGGGAGCAUUUGGACAGCCAGGCUCUCUUGGCUGGAACAAUAUGCACAACUGUGUGAUCUGUUCUGUUGUUUCCACAACCUGGCAUUACAAAGGCCAAAGAAUAAAAAUGUGUCUCCCUCUCACCUGGCUUCUGGGCUGAGCUUGUUGGGCAUAUGGCAUCCCAGAUUUAUAGUUCUGAUUUAUGGUAAUAAAUCCCCUUUUCCCAGGGGAUGAGAGGAAGAGUCACAGAAGUAGAAUAAGCAACUGCUGGGAAAGCAGUGAUCAAUGUCCACUCUGGGAGGAAACAUUGCUGAUCAAAACUGCUCCCAGCAGGAUUGUCAGGGAAGCCACAGCCAGUUCCUAGAGGAAUUGAUUUCUUCAUAAUCAUCUUUAAUGAGCAUCUUUAUCAUGCUAGCUGAGGGAUUGCACUGCUUCCAGCAGGGAACUUCUGCUAACAGAUUAAAAAUGUUUUUUUGCUUUUUUAUGCACCUGACUUAUCUCAUGGAGGGGAAGAAAAUCUGACAAUGCAUCUUGGCUCUGAGAAAAAUGCUAAAAGCAAGUUGGAGGAGAAAGGUGGGGAAAUAAAAGUGGAUUUUCUCAGAGGAUCUACUUGGAAAUACAAAGGAGGCUGAAAUGGAAUGAAAUGCAUUCAAGGGAUAAUGUCUCUCUGCCAUCAUAUUUCAAGUGCAAGACCACAAGGAAGUGAAAUUCACCUUCACACUGCACAUGCCAACCUGAUCCAGCCAUGGAUGGAAGCAAGGCCAGGGAAUGCUUGCUGCAGCCCCAUGAAGACAUGAACACCAACAGGCAGCUGAGGAAAGGCAGCAGGCUAAAUGGUCAGGACAAAUGAGCUGUUAUUUGGGCCAAGCUGGCUUUGUUCCUGCCUUUCAGGAGCCCACACACGAGCUCUCUGAACCUGGGAGCAGAUGAUCAGCAGUGAAAGUGCUGGAGGGCCUCAAUCUGCAAGUGCUGUUCAUGAAUUAUUAACAAGGCUUCUCCUGCCAGGGAAGUUAUGCACAGGAAAGAAGAGAUUCCCUCUAUGCAGAGCUGCUGCUAUCCAAAGGACAAAACAGCAGCCAGCAGGACUCUUGUCUCCUCUGUCACAGAUAUGAAGAAAGAGGGAACCUUUAUUAAUGGAAAUUUAAUUUGUCGUGUGUGAUUUUGCAGACUGAUGAACAGGCUUAUUUAUAAUGCUGUAAAGGAGCUGUGCUGGGGAUGGUGGUACAAGAAUAAAUUUACUAGGG
Molecule: long non-coding RNA, 1961 nt
Organism: Zonotrichia leucophrys gambelii
Lineage: Eukaryota; Metazoa; Chordata; Aves; Passeriformes; Passerellidae
Exons: 4
Source: RefSeq, a predicted model, not a curated record